UAUGAAUUAUCGGCCAAAAGGCCGAUAUGAAUUAUUCGCCUAUGGCGAAUAUGAAUUAUGGCCUGCCGGCCAUAUGAUAUAGUGU
This 85-nucleotide unclassified non-coding RNA is filed under the name Aristaeella lactis. Its description in RNAcentral is "Gut-1 RNA". The record is from RNAcentral. Lineage: Bacteria; Bacillati; Bacillota; Clostridia; Eubacteriales; Aristaeellaceae.